Molecule: small RNA, 35 nt
Filed under: Anaerobutyricum hallii
Lineage: Bacteria; Bacillati; Bacillota; Clostridia; Lachnospirales; Lachnospiraceae
Description: CRISPR_Spacer
Source: RNAcentral
AUACCAUGACAUAUUUUGAUGAUUUAAAGAUUAAA